UGCAUCGGCCGGGAAUCAUACCCGAGGGCGCCCGCGUGGCAGGCGAGCCUUCUACCACUGAACCAAAAGC
This is a non-coding RNA of Cordylochernes scorpioides, 70 nucleotides long. Lineage: Eukaryota; Metazoa; Arthropoda; Arachnida; Pseudoscorpiones; Chernetidae. The record is from the annotation of a GenBank genome assembly.